RNAcentral lists this ribosomal RNA (437 nucleotides) under Wolbachia endosymbiont of Aphis gossypii. RNAcentral's name for it is "bacterial SSU rRNA". It matches the Rfam family "Bacterial small subunit ribosomal RNA", at positions 992 to 1428 of the family's 1533-position model. The record is from RNAcentral. RNAcentral also lists the same sequence under 1 other name. Lineage: Bacteria; Pseudomonadati; Pseudomonadota; Alphaproteobacteria; Rickettsiales; Anaplasmataceae.
CAUACCUAUUCGAAGGGAUAGGGUCGGUUUGGCCGGAUUUCACACAGGUGUUGCAUGGCUGUCGUCAGCUCGUGUCGUGAGAUGUUGGGUUAAGUCCCGCAACGAGCGCAACCCUCAUCCUUAGUUACCAUCAGGUUAUGCUGGGGACUUUAAGGAAACUGCCAGUGAUAAACUGGAGGAAGGUGGGGAUGAUGUCAAGUCAUCAUGGCCCUUAUGGAGUGGGCUACACACGUGCUACAAUGGUGAUUACAAUGGGCUGCAAGGUCGCAAGGCUGAGCUAAUCCUAAAAAAUCAUCUCAGUUCGGAUUGUUCUCUGCAACUCGAGAGCAUGAAGUUGGAAUCGCUAGUAAUCGUGGAUCAGCAUGCUACGGUGAAUACGUUCUCGGGUCUUGUACACACUGCCCGUCACGCCAUGGGAAUUGGUUUCACUCGAAGCU